AGUGAACGCUGGCGGUAGGCCUAACACAUGCAAGUCGAACUGCAGCACAGUAAGAGCUUGCUCUUACGGGUGGCGAGUGGCGGACGGGUGAGGAAUACAUCGGAAUCUACUUUUUCGUGGGGGAUAACGUAGGGAAACUUACGCUAAUACCGCAUACGACCUACGGGUGAAAGCAGGGGAUUUUCGGACCUUGCGCGAUUGAAUGAGCCGAUGUCGGAUUAGCUAGUUGGCGGGGUAAAGGCCCACCAAGGCGACGAUCCGUAGCUGGUCUGAGAGGAUGAUCAGCCACACUGGAACUGAGACACGGUCCAGACUCCUACGGGAGGCAGCAGUGGGGAAUAUUGGACAAUGGGCGCAAGCCUGAUCCAGCCAUACCGCGUGGGUGAAGAAGGCCUUCGGGUUGUAAAGCCCUUUUGUUGGGAAAGAAAAGCAGCAGGUUAAUACCCCGCUGUUCUGACGGUACCCAAAGAAUAAGCACCGGCUAACUUCGUG
RNAcentral lists this ribosomal RNA (492 nucleotides) under uncultured bacterium. RNAcentral's name for it is "partial 16S ribosomal RNA". It matches the Rfam family "Bacterial small subunit ribosomal RNA", at positions 29 to 507 of the family's 1533-position model. The record is from RNAcentral.